GACAGAGGCCUCAAGCGUUUAGGUGGAAUCACUGGGCUUAAAAGCGUGUGUAGGCGGAUCGUUAAGUGUCUUGUGAAAUCCCACGGCUCACCCGUGGAACUGCUGGGCAUACUGGCGAUCUUGGGCCAACUAGGGGCAACUGGAACAAGCGGUGGAGCGGUGAAAUGCGUAGAUAUCGCUUGGAACGCCAAAGGUGAAAACAGGUUGCUGGGGUUGU
This 217-nucleotide ribosomal RNA is filed under the name uncultured bacterium. RNAcentral's name for it is "partial 16S ribosomal RNA". It matches the Rfam family "Bacterial small subunit ribosomal RNA", at positions 524 to 738 of the family's 1533-position model. The record is from RNAcentral.